GAUAAACGCUAGCGGCAGGCUUAACACAUGCAAGUCGAGGGGCAGCAUAGAUUGUAGGAAUACAAUUGGUGGCGACCGGCGCACGGGUGCGUAACGCGUAUGCAACCUACCCGUCACAGGGGGAUAAUCCGGAGAAAUCUGGUCUAAUACCCCAUAACAUAUGGAUCGGCAUCGGUUCAUGUUGAAAUUUUCGGAGGUGACGGAUGGGCAUGCGUAGCAUUAGCUUGUUGGUGAGGUAACGGCUCACCAAGGCGACGAUGCUUAGGGGGACUGGGAGGUUUUCCCCCCACACUGAUACUGAGACACGGACCAGACUCCUACGGGAGGCAGCAGUGAGGAAUAUCGGUCAAUGGGCGCAAGCCUGAACCAGCCAUGCCGCGUGCAGGAUGACGGCUCUAUGAGUUGUAAACUGCUUUUGUACGAGGGUAAAGUGGGUUACGUGUAACCUUUUGAAAGUAUCGUACGAAUAAGGAUCGGCUAACUCCGUGCCAGCCGCCGCGGUAA
This 504-nucleotide ribosomal RNA is filed under the name uncultured bacterium. RNAcentral's name for it is "partial 16S ribosomal RNA". It matches the Rfam family "Bacterial small subunit ribosomal RNA", at positions 28 to 523 of the family's 1533-position model. The record is from RNAcentral.